GGUUCGGUUUGAACCGAAUGCUCAGCCCUAUGGGAUUGCAUACAGUUUCGAUCCUGGAGUUUCCAAUUCGGUUCAAAGGUGAUUCCGUUCGAUUCUGGAUGCCAAGUGGCACGUCUCCAAUGUGCCAUUUUUUUUCAAUUUUCUAGUUCAAAAUAGACCAACCAAUGGUUCCAUUCUGGUCCAAUUCAAGGUUCAAAGAACCCCCAAAUUAGGACCGGCCCUACAAUACCACAGGUUUGGUCCCGCUAAUCAUUGACCGAUUAAGAUUGCAGUUUUAACCGGUCCGGCUCCAAUUCCAACAUGGAUUUAAAUCAUGGUCGCAGUUGCAUUCGAGAGUAAUAAAAACAGGCCUAUAAUAGCCGUAAUAUAACAUUAACAGCCUAUCGCUACACAAAUUUUUUUUGAAAAAUUUGCACAGGCCUAUUUCCUUUAUCCACUACUGCAAUUUAAAUCCACGUGUGAUACAAUUAUAUCCUAGGUGUGAUAUCUAUCAAAUCAAACUUUAGGUGCGAAGCCUAAAUUCUUUGUUGUUACUGUUCAUGGGUUACUAUUCACAGCACUCUUCAAAGUGUGUAAACUGACUUGAAAUCUGUCCUACUUUAACUUCAUGAGAAUACUGUGCCUUCACCACAUAACAGAUGUUUAUAUAAAAGGUCACUCGUGAAACAAUCAUAACAAAGACAAUAAAUUUAGGACAA
Molecule: unclassified non-coding RNA, 698 nt
Filed under: Hevea brasiliensis (rubber tree)
Lineage: Eukaryota; Viridiplantae; Streptophyta; Magnoliopsida; Malpighiales; Euphorbiaceae
Source: RNAcentral